This 404-nucleotide ribosomal RNA is filed under the name uncultured bacterium. Its description in RNAcentral is "bacterial SSU rRNA". It matches the Rfam family "Bacterial small subunit ribosomal RNA", at positions 355 to 775 of the family's 1533-position model. The record is from RNAcentral.
UAGGGAAUAUUGGACAAUGGGCGAAAGCCUGAUCCAGCAACGCCGCGUGCGCGAUGACGGCCUUCGGGUUGUAAAGCGCUUUUAGGAGAGAUGAGAAAGGACAGUAUCUCCAGAAUAAGCCUCGACGAACUACGUGCCAGCAGCCGCGGUAAAACGUAGGAGGCAAGCGUUAUCCGGAUUUAUUGGGCGUAAAGCGUGUGCAGGCGGUUUGGCAAGUUGGAUGUGAAAGCUCCCGGCUUAACUGGGAGAGGUCGUUCAAAACUGCCAGACUAGAGAAUGGAAGAGGGAGGUGGAAUUCCGGGUGUAGUGGUGAAAUGCGUAGAUAUCCGGAGGAACACCAGUGGCGAGAGCGGCCUCCUAGGCCAUUUCUGACGCUAAGACACGAAAGCUAGGGUAGCAAACGG